AGUUCAGCUUCUCAAAAUGAGGUUCCCUUCUCAGCUCCUGGGGCUGCUGAUGCUCUGGGUCCCAGGAUCCAGCGGGGAUAUCGUGCUGACACAGACCCCACUGUCUCUGUCCAUCACCCCCGGAGAGUCAGCCUCCAUCUCCUGCAGGGCCAGUCAGAGCCUCCUACACAGUAAUGGAAACACCCAUUUGAGUUGGUACCUGCAGAAACCAGGCCAGUCCCCACAGCUCUUGAUCUACAAGAUUUCCAACCGUUUCACUGGGGUCCCAGACAGGUUCAGUGGCAGCGGGUCAGGGACAGAUUUCACCCUGACAGUCAGCAGGGUGGAGGCUGAUGAUGUGGGAGUUUAUUACUGCGGGCAAUAUACACAGUAUCCUCCCAUAGUGGUUCAGGCCUGAACACAAACCUCUCUGUCUGGCGGUCCCCACUGGGCACAUGUGCUGCCUGAGAGGGGAAUUGGGACAACAGAGGCUCUUAGCUGGUGUCAGAGGCUGGUGUUGGGGAACUCAGGGCAGUAACAUGCAGCUGAGUACUCUGGACCGAGUCCUGGGACCUAGGAUGCUACAUGCUCAGUGGGGUAUAACCAGCUCUGGAGCGGAUGUGAUCAGCCUGUGGGCUUUGCGGUGAGCUCCCAGGGAGUGCUGCCCUGAACCUCACCCUGACCCUCCCGGCCUGUGUGCAUGUGUCAGGAACUAUUACUCAGGUUGAGCGUCAGAAACCUGAGCGAUUUAUGUGAAAGCACAACUACAUACAUUUGGAGCUAAACACGUCUGCCAUAUUGUCAGUAAGAGACUAUUCAGUGUUGUUCAGAAUUU
Molecule: non-coding RNA, 814 nt
Organism: Mustela lutreola (European mink)
Lineage: Eukaryota; Metazoa; Chordata; Mammalia; Carnivora; Mustelidae
Source: the annotation of a RefSeq genome assembly